UACUUGGUGCGCAGCCAAGGAUGAAGCUGCUUGGAUCUCAGUCUACAUCUAAGCUUCAUGAAAAGAUUUUUUUUUAUUUUGAACACCUAGACAAAACCAUACGGGCCUCGUUGGUACGACUACGUGUCAUUCAACGAAACAGAUCCCCGAUGGUGCAAAAGCAAGAAAAUUAUCGAAAUUAGAGAUAAGCAUCUCCAUGUACCGAGUGGAUUGCAUAAUAAUAAUACAUCAUAUCAACAACAAACCGUCGUUGGAUUUCCCUGUGUCCAUGUUCCACUUUUAAUAGCACCUGCAUAAAAGUGUAUAAUACGUUGAAAUCCAAACUUUGUCCGUAUAAUUUCCUAACACCUAAUACAAAUGUUUUUAUGCCUGCAUCACGACAGCAAUGAAAAACUCUACAGUACAAAAUAAACAACAACAAUGAACAAUCAGUUCUGAAUACAUAAGGCAGACUUUCGAGUUUUUAGGCACGUGUAUGCAAGAUUGUUCGCAGGUCACAGACAUGAGCGUCUGUGCAUUCGAAGCUUUUGAAGGAAACAAUCCGAAAUUUUUUUGUAACGUGAUACAUUGCUGCACUACGGAUAUGAAGACGUGCAAGUCGCUAUACUCGAUAAUAACUACUACUCCCCUAAUUCUAGAGUUUGCAUAUCGGUUGCGUAGCUGUGGAGAAAUUGAAAGUUAAGAUUGUUUCGAAUUAGAUCCAAUAAUUAUUUGAAUUUUAGAAUUUUCUCACGAAGAAAUAAUUCCAUACAUAAAUCUUGAGUUUGUAAAUACAACUCCGCACUUGUAAAAAUAUUCACAAUGAAAAAGUACGAUUAACGUUUUACAAUCAAAAUCAAAACCAGGACGAAAAUACGAUUUUGUAUCGUUCCAUAAUAAUCCUGCAACGGCCACUUUGAAGAAGCUAUUCAGAAUCGUCAGCACAUUUCGUCGUACAAGUAUAUAUUCUGCCAGUGCACUUGCGCCCAAGAUAACUACAAAAAUGCCGAGUUCAAAUUCAGUCUUUUAUCGUCCAAUGUGCUUUACGACCAAAAUUAAUAAGAAUCAUGCACAUUUUCUUUCAACUCCGUGGCUACAUAAUACAGUUGAGGCUUAAAUUAUUAUUAUUCUUAAAAAUGUAAUUUCUCACAAGUCUUUUCUUUGCGCGUAGCGUCAUGACCAAUGCUCGAUUUGUUAUAUAAGAAAGGACGUCUUUCACAUCCAGGUGCAGCAAGGAAAGCAAUUAUCAGUAUUUAUAGUAUGUUCAGUAUCACUGUAAGAGAUGAAAAACAAUUCGGGUUGCGAGUUAUGCACCUGCCCUUUAACUUUAACAACAGCUUAUUAAUAAAGGAUGCUGAGCCACGAGCAAUGUUUACUGAUUAUAGCAAAAAAGCACCAACACAAAGCGAGCUGCACCUCUCCAGCAAAAACGUGCCAACGCAUACAUACGAUAACGAAGUACACUCUUAUAACGAUCAACACCUUCGCUUUCAACCGUCCGAUCUAGAGAAAGACGAAGGCUAGUCCACAAUUCCAUUUAUCAACAUGCAAAAAGGCAAUUAAAUUUACGAUACCAACACCGUCGUCGGGCGUAGGUUUCACCCACAGACCUGACGUAUUGGCAAGCUGUAAUUCUGGAGUUUUCUUUUAGGACUUUUAGGACUAAAUCUCUUUACCUACAAUUUAACGUCGCACUUGCACGAAACCUUAAUAUUAUACGAAUCUAUUGUACCUUCUAUCAUUCAUAAUCAACAUUUCAAUUAUUAUAAUAUUACCAUAGAAGAGUUUGUUUCCAAUUUCACGCAGCGAAUAUUAAAUAAAAUAAUGCUAUAAUAAAUCAAGAAGUUUAAAAUA
This is a long non-coding RNA of Nasonia vitripennis (jewel wasp), 1833 nucleotides long. RefSeq lists it as uncharacterized. The record is from RefSeq and is a predicted model, not a curated record. The transcript is spliced from 2 exons. NCBI's taxonomy places the organism in Eukaryota, Metazoa, Arthropoda, Insecta, Hymenoptera, Pteromalidae.